GAUCCUGGCUCAGGACGAACGCUGGCGGCGUGCCUAAUACAUGCAAGUCGAGCGAAGAAUUUCUGGUGCUUGCACUAGAAAUUCUUAGCGGCGAACGGGUGAGUAACACGUAAAGAACCUGCCUUAUAGACUGGGAUAACUACGGGAAACUGUAGCUAAUACCGGAUAACAACAUUUUCCGCAUGGGAGAUGUUUAAAAGUUGGUGAAGCUAACACUAUAAGAUGGCUUUGCGGAGCAUUAGCUAGUUGGUGGGAUAAAAGCCUACCAAGGCGACGAUGCAUAGCCGACCUGAGAGGGUGAACGGCCACAUUGGGACUGAGACACGGCCCAAACUCCUACGGGAGGCAGCAGUAGGGAAUCUUCCGCAAUGGACGAAAGUCUGACGGAGCAACGCCGCGUGAGUGAAGAAGGAUUUCGGUUCGUAAAGCUCUGUUGUUAGGGAAGAAAGGUUGUGUAGUAACUAUACACAAAACAGACGGUACCUAACCAGAAAGCCACGGCUAACUACGUGCCAGCAGCCGCGGUAAUACGUAGGUGGCAAGCGUUGUCCGGAAUUAUUGGGCGUAAAGCGCGCGCAGGUGGUUUAGAAAGUCUGAUGUGAAAGCCCACGGCUCAACCGUGGAAGGUCAUUGGAAACUGAUAAACUUGAGUGCAGGAGAGAAAAGUGGAAUUCCUAGUGUAGCGGUGAAAUGCGUAGAGAUUAGGAGGAACACCAGUGGCGAAGGCGGCUUUU
Molecule: ribosomal RNA, 734 nt
Filed under: Gemella bergeri ATCC 700627
Lineage: Bacteria; Bacillati; Bacillota; Bacilli; Caryophanales; Gemellaceae
Description: bacterial SSU rRNA
Rfam family: Bacterial small subunit ribosomal RNA
Source: RNAcentral